Molecule: ribosomal RNA, 178 nt
Filed under: uncultured bacterium
Lineage: Bacteria
Description: partial 16S ribosomal RNA
Rfam family: Bacterial small subunit ribosomal RNA
Source: RNAcentral
GAAGCCGGAAUUGCUAGUAAUGGCAGGUCAGCAUACUGCCGUGAAUACGUUCCCGGGCCUUGUACACACCGCCCGUCACACCAUGAGAGUUGGGAAUACCCGAAGCCUGUGAGCUAACAUUACGAGGCAGCAGUCGAAGGUAGAAUCAAUGAUUGGGGUGAAGUCGUAACAAGGUAAC